AUUGAACGCUGGCGGCAUGCCUAACACAUGCAAGUCGAGGGGUAUAGUUCUUCGGAAUUAGAGACCGGCGCACGGGUGCGUAACGCGUAUGCAAUCUACCUUUCACAGAGGGAUAGCCCAGAGAAAUUUGGAUUAAUACCUCAUAGUAUAGCAGUUUCGCAAUGGAAACCACUAUUAAAAGUCACAACGGUGAAAGAUGAGCAUGCGUCCCAUUAGCUAGUUGGUAAGGUAACGGCUUACCAAGGCUACGA
Molecule: ribosomal RNA, 251 nt
Filed under: uncultured bacterium
Lineage: Bacteria
Description: partial 16S ribosomal RNA
Rfam family: Bacterial small subunit ribosomal RNA
Source: RNAcentral